Molecule: ribosomal RNA, 450 nt
Filed under: uncultured bacterium
Lineage: Bacteria
Description: partial 16S ribosomal RNA
Rfam family: Bacterial small subunit ribosomal RNA
Source: RNAcentral
CCUACGGGGGGCUGCAGUAAGGAAUAUUGGUCAAUGGACGAAAGUCUGAACCAGCCAUCCCGCGUGCAGGAUGAAAGCCCUAUGGGUUGUAAACUGCUUUUAGCAGAGAAGAAAAGCUUCCAUUUAUGGGGGUCUGACGGUAUCUGCAGCAUAAGCCCCGGAUAACUCCGUGCCAGCAGACGCGGUAAUACGGAGGGUGCGAGCGUUAUCCGGAAUUACGGGGUUUAAGGGGUGCGUAGGCGGCAGUGUUGAAAUCUUGUCGCUUAACGAUAAAAUUGCCAAUGAUACUGGUACUCUUGAAUUGGGUUGAGGUUAGCGGAAUGUUACAUGUAGCGGUGAAAUGCAUAGAUAUGUCAUGGAACACCAAUUGCGAAGGCAGCUAACUGGGCCUUGAUUGACGCUGAGGCACGAAAGCGUGGGUAGCGAACAGGAUUAGAUACCCUUGUAGUC